Molecule: non-coding RNA, 77 nt
Organism: Trichonephila clavipes
Lineage: Eukaryota; Metazoa; Arthropoda; Arachnida; Araneae; Nephilidae
Source: the annotation of a GenBank genome assembly
GACCUUGUGACGCAAGAGAUAGUGUGUUGGACUUCCAAUUCAAAUGUCGUGGGUUUGAAUCCCACCUGGGAUGGCCU